AUGAGGGUUCAGCAUCACAUAUACUAAAAUUGAAAUAUACAGAAAGAUUAGCGUGGCUCCUAAGCAAGGAUGACAUGCAAAUUUGUGAAGCAUUUUAUAUUGUU
This is a small nuclear RNA of Chlorocebus sabaeus (green monkey), 104 nucleotides long. The record is from Ensembl. NCBI's taxonomy places the organism in Eukaryota, Metazoa, Chordata, Mammalia, Primates, Cercopithecidae.